UGAUAAUAAGACAUCUAUUGAUAGACUUAUUAGGAGGUAUAUGACUUGGAAAUUUCUAAUCAGUUUCAAGAAGGAAUGACACAUCGUUUCAUGGACUGGAUAGGUUUCCACUUCUUUUCCCUCUCUGUUUUAAUUUUUAUUCUUGUAGAUUGUUUGCCUUUAUAUAUCCUUUUGCUGUGAUUUUCUGACAUGCAUUAUUGGAGUUUCAGGGGGAUCAAAUUCAUCAAGAGCAAAUAAACCAACAUGGACCAGAUUAUUUGGGAUUCAUUGCAUUCAAAUUCAGUUACAAGACAACUAUCCUAGGAGGAAGUUGAAACGGUUCCAACAUCUUUAAGACAGCAUUUACAGCUGGAUAAAGGACAAGAUCCAGUGCCAAUGACCAAUCAAUUGAGCCGAUAGAACUUCUGAACAUCUUUAAGAUAGCAUUUACAGCUGGAUAAAGGACAUCUUUAAGGCGAUCGUUUUGAAUGUAGAAGACCCGUCCUUUCAGUUUCACUUUGUUUCUGGUGUUGAGAAAGAAUCGGAAUAUCCCUCGCCACAGGUUGUAGAGGAAGAGUCAGACCAUUUGUACCUUGAGGACACAGUUGAGGUGGUGGAAAAUACUUUUCCUCCGAGCUUGACACCAAAGCUCAGAUCUCAAAGGUUUAAACAUUCAGCUAAUGCUCUGGUACAUCAUUCAUCAGACCCCGAUUUUUUAGAGGACAACUUUGUUCGAGCCCUCAUUCCUCAUGAAGUUAAGAAUCCAAAGUCAAGACACUCAUCCAUAGCUUAAGUUCACUAUUCCAGGUUCGAAAAUUCCUUCGUUCAAGGUACAUUUUCUCAAGGUUACAAGAAGCAUUGGGAUCGGGAAUCGGAAGAUGAGUCCGAUGUUAGUGUCAGUAGUGAAACUUUCGACAGAGAAAACAUUAUGAUUGAAGAAGAAAUUAAUACAGAUGAUUUGGGGGAAGCAUACAGAACGCUUUUUAUGCAACAACAAGGCCCAGUAAGUGUAUCACUUCUAUCCCCUUCUCAAAUUCCAUCCAAAUUUACAUCGUUAGUUGCGGCUUGUGGUUUCCAGUAAGUGUAUCACUUCUAUCCCUUUCUCAAAUUCCAUCCAAGUUUACAUCGUUAGUUGCGGCUUGGGGUUUCCAAUUGCAGGACAUAGCAUCUCCAUCUCCUCAGGAGGUGGCUUAAUUUUGAAGAUCUUAUCAUGGAACACUAGGGGCCUUAAUGAUAAAUUAAAGAAGUCAGCCCUGAAGUCAUUCUUAUAAAUUUAACAUCCGGUUUUAGAGCGUUUUUUGUGGGAAGGUCAAAAGGCAACAAUCUAAAAAAUAGAAACAUUGUAAUACUUCUGUUUAAAUGGAAGUGGAGAUUCAUCAAAGAGUAAGAUUCAUUUUGGUGUUGGGUUGUUAAAGUGUUCUCGGCUCAGAUAAUCACCAUUGGCACAUUUCCGGCAAGCUUGGGUUGAUUUGAGAAGCCCUUGGAUUCAGCAUUUCAAAGAUUUGGAAUAAAUUAGGUUCCUUUGCACACUUAGUAAUCAGUAGGAACAUAUUGUUGAUAUGGUUUCUGUUUUCUUGGCUAAACUGUUGAGCCACUCUACAUUACCAACUCUGGGAUCAUUGUUUAUCUCCCUCCAUGUGCCCUUUGUGUCUAGCAAAUGAAGAAGUCGCAAAACCAAUUUAAUUU
Benincasa hispida (wax gourd) is the source of this 1665-nucleotide non-coding RNA. Lineage: Eukaryota; Viridiplantae; Streptophyta; Magnoliopsida; Cucurbitales; Cucurbitaceae. The record is from RefSeq and is a predicted model, not a curated record.